GAUGAACGCUGGCGGCGUGCCUAACACAUGCAAGUCGAACGGAGUUCUUAAGGAAUGCGACUUCGGUCAAAUGACUUUUGAACUUAGUGGCGGACGGGUGAGUAACGCGUGAGCAACCUGCCUUUCAGAGGGGGAUAACAUUUGGAAACAGAUGCUAAUACCGCAUAAGAUUACAGUACCGCAUGAUACAGUGAUCAAAGGAGCAAUCCGCUGAAAGAUGGGCUCGCGUCCGAUUAGAUAGUUGGUGAGGUAACGGCUCACCAAGUCGACGAUCGGUAGCCGGACUGAGAGGUUGAACGGCCACAUUGGGACUGAGACACGGCCCAGACUCCUACGGGAGGCAGCAGUGGGGAAUAUUGCACAAUGGGCGAAAGCCUGAUGCAGCAACGCCGCGUGAGGGAAGACGGUUUUCGGAUUGUAAACCUCUGUUUUCGGUGACGAACAAAUGACGGUAACCGAGUAGGAAGCCACGGCUAACUACGUG
RNAcentral lists this ribosomal RNA (484 nucleotides) under uncultured bacterium. RNAcentral's name for it is "bacterial SSU rRNA". It matches the Rfam family "Bacterial small subunit ribosomal RNA", at positions 28 to 507 of the family's 1533-position model. RNAcentral also lists the same sequence under 1 other name. The record is from RNAcentral.